RNAcentral lists this long non-coding RNA (999 nucleotides) under Triticum aestivum (bread wheat). RNAcentral describes it as "long non-coding RNA (TAES_LNC019782)". Lineage: Eukaryota; Viridiplantae; Streptophyta; Magnoliopsida; Poales; Poaceae. The record is from RNAcentral.
GAUUUGCAGGUAUAUGUGUAUGUAUGUGCUCUUGUUGGCUGCUAGCUUUUCCUCACCUUUGAUUUCCCCUUGUUUUCCUCGCAGAUUUGUCGGGUGUUGCCGGUGCCUCCUUUGAUCUGACCCGGUUGCGUCUUCGUUCAUGGAUCUGAGGUUAACCCCUCUUCUUCUCCUCCUUUUGUCCUCUCGUGUUAGAGUGCUAGGUAUACGGCGGCAUGGCCAAGUGUUGUGUGUUUGGCCAGCAUGGGCCAUUUGUUGUUUGUCCUGCAUCUGGUAAAGGCCAAAGGUCUUUUCCUCUUUGUCUGGUCUGGUAGUGCCUGCAAUUGGUGCUUCUUCCCUGGUGGAGUAUUUGUGUUUUGUUGCUUUUAGUCUAGCUAGGUUCCAAGGAAGGGACAUUUAGGCUUUUCUUGUUUUGCUGGUACGAGGAGACAUGGCCGGAAGCACCAGCGAACUACACCAAUAGUAUCUCUCGUUAGCUCACAAACAUCUUUGUGAAGUACUACCUCCGUAGUAUACUCUACUUUCAAUCUUGUACUUGUAACCUAUUUUGUCCUUCCCUUCUUCACAGUUUGGGAGAGAUACAACAGAGAAGACCACCAGAGAAACGGUCGUCCCGAACCCAGACUAUCAUUGCUAUACUUGGUGAGCUCUAGAGGUAGUAUAUAGAACAUCUCUGUUAUCUGGAAAUGUACUUCUAUGUCAAACUGAAAAAAGAUAUAUGUUGUCUGGUAGGCUGGUAAUAUGUCCAUCCAUUAACCACUAUUUUGUCGUAAUGCAGGGAUAUCUGGUGUGUCUGCAUAUGCAUAAAAUCUUCUUGCCGCUGCACCUGUAGACCUACUGGGGCUGCUUCUCUUGUUUCAUGAUUCGACGGAGAGCUCAUUUCAUGUUUUGGAUCUCUUGCCAGGUUUGUUUAUGUCUUGGAUUGGAGCAGCGACGCAAGUAGGGAGAGAUCGUUGCCUGGACUGCUUCUACUCUCAUCAUCGUGGCUUGCAGGUCGCCACC